GACGAACGCUGGCGGCGUGCUUAACACAUGCAAGUCGAACGGAAAGGCCCUGCUUUUGUGGGGUGCUCGAGUGGCGAACGGGUAAGUAACACGUGAGUAACCUGCCAUUGCCCUUGGGAUAACUUCAGGCAACUGGGGCUCAUACCGGAUAGGAGCUCCUGCUGCAUGGUGGGGGUUGGAAAGUUUCGGCGGUUGGGGAUGGACUAGCGGCUUAUCAGCUUGUUCGUGGGGUAGUGGCUUACCAAGGCUUGGACGGGUAGCAGGCCUGAGAGGGUGACCGGCCACAUUGGGACUGGGAUACGGCCCAGACUCCUACGGGAGGCAGCAGUGGGGAAGAUUGCACAAUGGGAUGGAGCCUGAUGCAGCAACGCCGCGUGGGGGAUGACGUCCAUCGGGUUGUAAUCCGCUUUCGCCUUUGACGAAGCGUGAGUGACGGUAAUGGGUAAAGAAGCACCGGCUAACUACGUG
This 468-nucleotide ribosomal RNA is filed under the name uncultured bacterium. RNAcentral describes it as "partial 16S ribosomal RNA". It matches the Rfam family "Bacterial small subunit ribosomal RNA", at positions 28 to 507 of the family's 1533-position model. The record is from RNAcentral.